GGCUUGCUGGACACUCUUUCCCUGGUGCACUACUGUGGGCCAUUGGGGAGCAGGGCAAUGAUGGAAGGGCAUCUGUCAGGCC
RNAcentral lists this microRNA precursor (82 nucleotides) under Mesocricetus auratus (golden hamster). RNAcentral describes it as "microRNA 130b (ENSMAUG00000005221.1)". Lineage: Eukaryota; Metazoa; Chordata; Mammalia; Rodentia; Cricetidae. The record is from RNAcentral.